RNAcentral lists this small RNA (481 nucleotides) under Pan troglodytes (chimpanzee). Its description in RNAcentral is "processed transcript". The record is from RNAcentral. Lineage: Eukaryota; Metazoa; Chordata; Mammalia; Primates; Hominidae.
UUUGCUCCACGGUCAAGUCCCUGUUCCCCAGGCAGGUUUCAGCUGACUGGCAGCAGGCUCCCUGAGUGAUGAGCUUGAACCUGUGGUGUUUCUGGGCGGAAGCUUAUCUUUUUUGAGAGUGUCUGAAGAUGAAGGCAUGGCGAUGCCCAUCCUCUGGCUUGGGUUAAUUCUUCAGUGACACUGGCAUUGCUGGGUGGUGAUGCCCGUCCUCUGGCUUGGGUUAAUUCUUUGGUGACACUGGCAUUGCUGGGUGGCGAUGCCCAUCCUCUGGCUUGGGUUAAUUCUUGGAUGACGUCGGCGUUGCUGGGAGAAUGUGCCGUUCCUGCCCUGCCUCCACCCACCUCGGGAGCAGAAGCCAGGCCUGGACACCCCUUGAAGGAGAGGGCGCUUCCUUGAGUAGUGACUAGGCUACUUUUGCCCACUGUAAAAGGCACCGUCAUCCUGGUAUCAAGAUUCUGGAGAGGCCAGAUUUGAAAUCAAG